This 582-nucleotide ribosomal RNA is filed under the name Triticum aestivum (bread wheat). RNAcentral's name for it is "partial small subunit ribosomal RNA". Lineage: Eukaryota; Viridiplantae; Streptophyta; Magnoliopsida; Poales; Poaceae. The record is from RNAcentral.
AUGGCAACCUGGGUGGAGGCGACACUGGUCGGCGACGACCUGGACUGGGCAGAGCAUACAGAUGCCAUCCGAGCCCAGCUGGUGCGUGCCCAGCACCGCUUCAAGAAGCAGGCGGACAAGCACCGCGUCGAGCGCUCAUUCCAAGUGGGAGAACAGGUCUUGCUGAAACUGCAGCCUUAUGUGCAACACUCCGUGGUCUCGCGCCCAUGCGCCAAGCUCGCCUACAAGUUCUUCGGCCCCUACACCGUGCUUGAGAAGAUUGGACCUCUGGCUUACAAGCUGGAUCUGCCGCUAGACAGCCGCGUGCACCCGGUCUUCCACGUCUCCCAGCUGAAGCCAUUCACGCCGGACUACUCACCGAUUUUCGCUGAGCUUCCCCGAGUCCAACACCUGUCUGCGUCGACGACAGAGCCCGUCAAGAUCCUGGAGAGGCGUAUGAUGAAGCAUGGCGACGCGCCCGUGGUGCAGCUCAAGAUACAAUGGUCAUCGUCGUCCCCGGACUCGGCCACCUGGGAGGACUACGACGUGCUACGCCGGCGUUUUCCCACGGCACCCAUUUGGGAGGGGGAGGCCUCUUCUUAA